Molecule: ribosomal RNA, 121 nt
Filed under: Microcebus murinus (gray mouse lemur)
Lineage: Eukaryota; Metazoa; Chordata; Mammalia; Primates; Cheirogaleidae
Source: RNAcentral
UAUACGGCCAUGCCACCCUGAAUGCACCUGAUCUUGUCUGAUCCCAGAAGCUAAGCAGGGUUGGGCCUGGUUAGUACUUGGAUGGGAAAAAUAAAAAAAAGAAACAUUACAACUGGUAAAA